Long non-coding RNA from Lolium perenne, 982 nucleotides. RefSeq lists it as uncharacterized. Lineage: Eukaryota; Viridiplantae; Streptophyta; Magnoliopsida; Poales; Poaceae. The record is from RefSeq and is a predicted model, not a curated record.
CCCGUCGUCUCCCAUCUCUCAACUUCCCCUUUUUCUCACUGCUGGCUAGAGACUCCACUGUCAGCCCCCCAAUUCCACUGUCCGCCGUCGUCCCCCGGCUUGGCUCGUGCUGCUUUACACCGCUUAGCUCGUCCGCCCCUGGCCCCCGGCUCCCUCGCGCGGCCGCCGGCUCGAGCUUUGGGCGCGCGGCCCCGCUCCCCGGCUCCCUCGCGCGGCCGCCGGCCCGAGCUUUGGGCGCGCGGCCCCGCUCCCCGGCUCCUUCGCUCGUUCCUGCCCCGGGUCCCUCGCGCGGCCGCCCGGCGCAGAUUCGCUCGCCUGGCCCCGCCCCCGCUCCCUCGCGCGCCCCUGCCACCGGCUGCCUCGCGCGGCCCCUGCCCCAUCUUCGCUCACGCAUCCCCGCCACACGGCUCCGUCGCACGGCCGCCAGCCGCCGGCUCCCUCGCGACGGACCGGCCCUCCCCUGCGCCUGCAGGGAUGAGCCAGGGUUCACCACUGGCGCGGUGCCGUUGAAGAUCCCAGGGUUCCGAAAGGAUUCGAGGGAGCGCGGGUGGUGCGGGUGGUGUUGUUUGGCCUCAAUUCAUAGUGGUGAUGUUGGAUUGAUGCCGCUCGGGAAGAUUGAUCAGCGUGGAGAAUAAUAGUGGAAACCUACUUUCUGGUCGUCGGCGCGACUGAGGCGGUCAAUGGCGUCAUCGCGCUAGGCAAGCUGAGAGCGCAUCCCGUGGCCUCAGUCUCCAGCCACCCGAUGUGGGAUGCGCAACGUGGGAAGCUAGCGCGUUGGAGGUGAUCUUCCGCGCCACGUCAAGCUGCUCAAACCGGUUCACCGGAAGCAUCGCCGCCAGCUUUUAUGAAGGUUAAUACUUCGUCGAGACGUGCCAGAAGUUUGUCGUCGGGACUCGCCUCCUAAUUCCUGCCGUCCCAGCCGCACCGGCGCCGCCUUGGACCGCUUCGAGCUCGACAACGACGACGGAGGGACCGUGGUUCU